UAAAAGCAUAGAACAUAAUUUAUGUAAAAAGAGACUAUAAAAGAGGCGGAAGGCGUAGAAUCUUUCUCUUUUGUAAAAUCAGUGAUCCUUGAAAGAAGUAGUAGUGCGCGCGUGUGUAAAUAAUAGAAGGAUCUGUUAGUCGUUAAAAAUAGUUGUUGUAAUGGUAAAGUAGUACGGUUUUGUGUAAAUUAAAAGCUAUUAGUACGUUUAAAUCCUGUAAAACAACACAAGAACAGAAAAACGACAGUAACAAACAAAUUAAAAGUCACCAAGAAAAAGGUAAAUAUCAUGUGCUGUGAACAGAUCAGAAAGUUUAGAGGUUAGGAAGUGACGUCGCAGGGUGCUAAUCCGUUGUGUCCAGGUCCAUGCCAAAGGGACCUUUUUCUUUUGUGCUUUUUCCAAGUUCUCGACAGUGCAGUGCAUCGGUGGAAACUUCCGUGGGCGAAGAGCUAGUUCCGGUUCCUUCGGCCGUAUAGAUCCUGACGAUUUGGAUGCCGGAGACUUUCGGUCCAAAUCCGUGCCGCCAUUGCUUUUGAGCACGCAGGAUUGCCGUUUGUUGAACGUAGGCCGCCAUCUUCCAGCCACAUUCCUGUGCCGCACUCGUCCCGACCGUGGAUUGACGUCCGGACUGUAAAGACCCUGCGACCAACGCCAAGCCGGCCAGAUCGAGCCUGAUCGGCCACCUCCACACCGAAUCCAACACCAAAGCGCAAGUACCCCCAAAUGUGACGUCACAAAUAA
This is a long non-coding RNA of Armigeres subalbatus, 741 nucleotides long. RefSeq lists it as uncharacterized. The record is from RefSeq and is a predicted model, not a curated record. The transcript is spliced from 3 exons. NCBI's taxonomy places the organism in Eukaryota, Metazoa, Arthropoda, Insecta, Diptera, Culicidae.